AGUGCCAGGCGGGAGGCGGCAGCGGUCGGACGCUUCGCCCGGCUUUGCAGCGGGGACUUCGGCGGCGGCGCCUCAGGCACCUCGGCCCGGACACGAUGAGGCGAGUGGUACGACAGAGCAAGUUUCGGCAUGUAUUUGGGCAAGCGGUGAAAAAUGACCAGUGCUAUGAUGACAUCCGGGUUUCUCGUGUGACCUGGGAUAGUUCCUUUUGUGCUGUCAAUCCCAGAUUUGUUGCCAUAAUCAUAGAGGCAAGUGGGGGAGGAGCGUUCCUUGUCCUCCCUCUGCACAAGGUAGGUAAUUUGAUCUUCCAUUCUGGUAGACACCCUCUGAUAGUCUCCAUACUUUUUCCUUAAUAGAUUGACAGUUCACUAAGAAUUGUAUUUGUGAAACCAUUAGACUCUGAUGUAAUUGAGGUUAAGUUCCACACGCCUUACUAACCACAUCAGUUUUUCUCUAACAGAGAAUCAUUAAAUA
RNAcentral lists this small RNA (474 nucleotides) under Pongo abelii (Sumatran orangutan). RNAcentral describes it as "retained intron". Lineage: Eukaryota; Metazoa; Chordata; Mammalia; Primates; Hominidae. The record is from RNAcentral.